GGGCCCGCACAAGCAGUGGAGUAUGUGGUUUAAUUCGAAGCAACGCGAAGAACCUUACCAGGUCUUGACAUCCAAUGAAUCCUCUAGAGAUAGAGGAGUGCCCUUCGGGGAACAUUGAGACAGGUGGUGCAUGGUUGUCGUCAGCUCGUGUCGUGAGAUGUUGGGUUAAGUCCCGCAACGAGCGCAACCCUUGUUAAUAGUUGCUACGUAAGAGCACUCUAUUAAGACUGCCGUUGACAAAACGGAGGAAGGUGGGGAUGACGUCAAAUCAUCAUGCCCCUUAUGACCUGGGCUACACACGUACUACAAUGGUCGCUAACAGAGGGAUGCGAAGCCGCGAGGUGGAGCGAACCCCCAAAAGCGAUCUCAGUUCAGAUUGCAGUCUGAAACCCGACUGUAUGAAGAUGGAAUUGCUAGUAAUCGCGGAUCAGCAUGCCGCGGUGAAUACGUUCCCGGGCCUUGUACACACCGCCCGUCACACCAUGAGAGCCGGAAACACCCGAAGUCGUUUGCGUAACCGUAAGGAGCGCGGCGCCGAAGGUGGGUUCGGUAAUUGGGGUGAAGUCGUAACAAGGUAGCCGUAUCGGAAGGUGCGGCU
Molecule: ribosomal RNA, 598 nt
Filed under: uncultured bacterium
Lineage: Bacteria
Description: bacterial SSU rRNA
Rfam family: Bacterial small subunit ribosomal RNA
Source: RNAcentral